RNAcentral lists this transfer RNA (64 nucleotides) under Syntermes spinosus. RNAcentral's name for it is "tRNA-Ala". The record is from RNAcentral. Lineage: Eukaryota; Metazoa; Arthropoda; Insecta; Blattodea; Termitidae.
GGGACUAUAGUUAAUAAUAACAUUUGAGUUGCAUUCAAAAAGUACUAUAUAAUAGUUAGCCUCA